Long non-coding RNA from Solea senegalensis (Senegalese sole), 230 nucleotides. RefSeq lists it as uncharacterized. Lineage: Eukaryota; Metazoa; Chordata; Actinopteri; Pleuronectiformes; Soleidae. The record is from RefSeq and is a predicted model, not a curated record. The transcript has 2 exons.
CGGUGCCCGUGCGGCCGGCGGAAUCUUUUGGCCGCGCGCACUGGAGUAGACACAGGACCGGACAGACGGAGGCGAGUGCCGCACCUGCCCGAAGACACGCAAUCGCCUGCGGUCACACGGUCUAAUCAAUAACUAUGUAUAAGUAUUCAAUUAUUAAUAAUAAUGAAUGUAAUGGAAAUAUCUGUUCGAACUGUGCAAACUUUGGCAAAUAAAGUGCUAUCGUGACCAAA